CCUACGGGAGGCAGCAGUGGGGAAUAUUGGACAAUGGGGGGAACCCUGAUCCAGCGACGCCGCGUGAGGGAAGAAGUAUUUCGGUAUGUAACGCUCUAUCAGCAGGGAAGAAAGAAAUGACGGACCCUGUCUAAGAAGCCCCGGCGAAAUACGUGCCAGCAGCCGCGGUAAUACGUAGGGGGCAAGCGUUAGCCGGAUUUACUGGGUGUAACGGGAGCGUAGACGGCGAUGCAAGUCUGAAGUGAAAGGCCGGGGCCCAACCUCCGGACUGCUUUGGAAACUGUAUGGCUGGAGUGCAGGAGAGGUAAGUGGAAUUCCUAGUGUAGCGGUGAAAUGCGUAGAUAUUAGGAAGAACACCAGUGGCGAAGGCGGCUUACUGGACUGUAACUGACGUUGAGGCUCGAAAGCGUGGGGAGCAAACAGGAUUAGAUACCCGAGUAGUC
Molecule: ribosomal RNA, 443 nt
Filed under: uncultured bacterium
Lineage: Bacteria
Description: partial 16S ribosomal RNA
Rfam family: Bacterial small subunit ribosomal RNA
Source: RNAcentral